AGUCUAGUUACUAGGCAGUGUAGUUAGCUGAUUGAUGGUAGUACCAAUCACUAACCACACGGCCAGGUAAAAAGACU
MicroRNA precursor from Nannospalax galili (Upper Galilee mountains blind mole rat), 77 nucleotides. The record is from Ensembl. Lineage: Eukaryota; Metazoa; Chordata; Mammalia; Rodentia; Spalacidae.